This 205-nucleotide ribosomal RNA is filed under the name uncultured microorganism. RNAcentral describes it as "partial 16S ribosomal RNA". It matches the Rfam family "Bacterial small subunit ribosomal RNA", at positions 9 to 213 of the family's 1533-position model. The record is from RNAcentral.
GAGUUUGAUCUUGGCUCAGAUUGAACGCUAGCGGGAUGCCUUACACAUGCAAGUCGAACGGCAGCACGGACUUCGGUCUGGUGGCGAGUGGCGAACGGGUGAGUAAUGUAUCGGAACGUGCCUAGUAGCGGGGGGAGUAACUACGCGAAAGACGUAGCUAAUACCGCCAUACGCCCUACCGGGGAAAGGACAGGGGAGUCGCAAG